CUAUUACUCCCUCCGUCUGGAAAUACUUGUCAUCAAAAUGGAUAAAAGAGAAUGUACCUAGACGUACUUUAGUUCUGGAUACAUUUUUUUUUUAUCCAUUUUGAUGACAAGUAUUUUCGGACGGAGGGAGUAUAAU
Triticum aestivum (bread wheat) is the source of this 136-nucleotide non-coding RNA. The record is from Rfam. Lineage: Eukaryota; Viridiplantae; Streptophyta; Magnoliopsida; Poales; Poaceae.